UACGGAAGGCAGCAGGGGGAAUAUUGCACAAUGGGCGCAAGCCUGAUGCAGCCAUGCCGCGUGUAUGAAAAAGGCCUUCGGGUUGUAAAGUACUUUCAGUCGUGAGGAAGGUGUUAAGGUUAAUAACCUUAGCAAUUGACGUUAGCGACAGAAGAAGCACCGGCUAACUCCGUGCCAGCAGCCGCGGUAAUACGGAGGGUGCGAGCGUUAAUCGGAAUUACUGGGCGUAAAGGGCACGCAGGCGGUUAAUUAAGUUGGAUGUGAAAUCCCCGGGCUUAACCUGGGAAUGGCAUUCAAGACUGGUUAGCUAGAGUCUUGUAGAGGGGGUAGAAUUCCAUGUGUAGCGGUGAAAUGCGUAGAGAUGUGGAGGAAUACCGGUGGCGAAGGCGGCCCCCUGGACAAAGACUGACGCUCAUGUGCGAAAGCGUGGGGAGCAAACAGGGAUUAGAUACC
Molecule: ribosomal RNA, 453 nt
Filed under: uncultured bacterium
Lineage: Bacteria
Description: bacterial SSU rRNA
Rfam family: Bacterial small subunit ribosomal RNA
Source: RNAcentral